GAUGAAGAACUUAGCAAAAUGCGAUACGUAAUGUGAAUUGCAGAAUUCAGUGAAUCAUCGAGUCUUUGAACGCACAUUGCGCCCCCUGGUAUUCCGGGGGGCAUGCCUGUCCGAGCGUCAUUGCUGCCCUCAAGCACGGCUUGUGUGUUGGGCCUCCGUCCUCCUCCCGGGGGACGGGCCCGAAAGGCAGCGGCGGCACCGCGUCCGGUCCUCGAGCGUAUGGGGCUUCGUCACCCGCUCUUGUAGGCCCGGCCGGCGCUUGCCGACACAUCAAUCUUUUUUCCAGGUUGACCUCGGAUCAGGUAGGGAUACCCGCUGAACUUAAGCAUAUCAAUAAGCGGAGGA
This 345-nucleotide unclassified non-coding RNA is filed under the name soil metagenome. Its description in RNAcentral is "partial contains 5.8S ribosomal RNA, internal transcribed spacer 2, and large subunit ribosomal RNA". The stretch from base 1 to 120 matches the Rfam family "5.8S ribosomal RNA", at positions 35 to 154 of the family's 154-position model. The record is from RNAcentral.